Molecule: ribosomal RNA, 429 nt
Filed under: Bacteroidota bacterium
Lineage: Bacteria; Pseudomonadati; Bacteroidota
Description: Bacteroidetes bacterium partial 16S ribosomal RNA
Rfam family: Bacterial small subunit ribosomal RNA
Source: RNAcentral
UAGGGAAUCUUCCGCAAUGGACGCAAGUCUGACGGAGCAACGCCGCGUGAGUGAAGAAGGAUUUCGGUUCGUAAAACUCUGUUGUUAGAGAAGAACAGCGCAUAGAGUAACUGUUAUGCGUGUGACGGUAUCUAACCAGAAAGCCACGGCUAACUACGUGCCAGCAGCCGCGGUAAUACGUAGGUGGCAAGCGUUGUCCGGAUUUAUUGGGCGUAAAGCGAGCGCAGGCGGUCAAUUAAGUCUGAUGUGAAAGCCCCCGGCUCAACCGGGGAGGGUCAUUUGAAACUGGUUGACUUGAGUGCAGAAGAGGAGAGUGGAAUUCCAUGUGUAGCGGUGAAAUGCGUAGAUAUAUGGAGGAACACCAGUGGCGAAGGCGACUCUCUGGUCUGUUACUGACGCUGAGGCUCGAAAGCGUGGGUAGCAAACAGG